UACGUAGGUGGCGAGCGUUGUCCGGAUUUACUGGGCGUAAAGAGCGCGCAGGCGGUCGUCCAAGUCGCGUGUGAAAGCCCCCGGCUCAACUGGGGAGGGUCACGCGAUACUGAUCGACUCGAAGGCAGGAGAGGGUAGUGGAAUUCCCGGUGUAGUGGUGAAAUGCGUAGAUAUCAGGAGGAACACCAAUGGCGAAGGCAGCUCGCUGGGACGGUACUGACGCUGAGACGCGAAAGCGUGGGGAGCGAACAGG
RNAcentral lists this ribosomal RNA (253 nucleotides) under uncultured bacterium. RNAcentral describes it as "partial 16S ribosomal RNA". It matches the Rfam family "Bacterial small subunit ribosomal RNA", at positions 524 to 776 of the family's 1533-position model. The record is from RNAcentral.